Molecule: ribosomal RNA, 780 nt
Filed under: uncultured bacterium
Lineage: Bacteria
Description: bacterial SSU rRNA
Rfam family: Bacterial small subunit ribosomal RNA
Source: RNAcentral
GGGGAAUAACCCGGAGAAAUUCGGACUAAUACCGCAUAAAGCAGGGGUCCCGCAUGGGAAUAUUUGCUAAAGAUUUUAUCGGUUUAAGAUGGGCAUGCGGAUGAUUAGCUAGUUGGAGAGGUAACGGCUCCCCAAGGCGACGAUCAUUAGGGGUUCUGAGAGGAAGGUCCCCCACACUGGUACUGAGACACGGACCAGACUCCUACGGGAGGCAGCAGUGAGGAAUAUUGGUCAAUGGGCGAGAGCCUGAACCAGCCAUGCCGCGUGCAGGAAGACUGCCCUAUGGGUUGUAAACUGCUUUUGUACGAGGGUAAAAAAGACUACGAGUAGUCAACUGAAAGUAUCGUACGAAUAAGGAUCGGCUAACUCCGUGCCAGCAGCCGCGGUAAUACGGAGGAUUCGAGCGUUAUCCGGAUUCAUUGGGUUUAAAGGGUGCGUAGGUGGACAAGUAAGUCAGCGGUGAAAAGGAGACGCUCAACGUUUCCCGUGCCGUUGAUACUGUUUGUCUAGAAUUUCGAUGAGGUAGGCGGAAUGCGCAGUGUAGCGGUGAAAUGCAUAGAUAUUGCGCAGAAGGCCAAUUGCGAAGGCAGCUUACUAAUCGACAAUUGACACUGAGGCACGAAGGUGCGGGGAUCAAACAGGAUUAGAUACCCUGGUAGUCCGCACAGUAAACGAUGAUAACUCGCUGCCGGCGAUAUUACAGUCGGUGGCCAAGCGAAAGCGAUAAGUUAUCCACCUGGGGAGUACGACCGCAAGGUUGAAACUCAAAGGAAUUGACGG